AACCGGUGCCAAAAAAACCCUAGGAUCGAUCCCUCGUUCCCACAGCAGAUCGGUCUCCGCCGCCAACCAGACCUUCGCACGCCCGAUCCAGCCCUACGCCCCCCUCCGCCGCCGAUCCAUCCCUGUGCCGCGGCCGAUCCAUGCCCUAUGUCCCCGCCGCCGAUGCCUCCUCCUCCACCUCCAUUCCCAAGCGACGGCGCCUGCGGCCGCGGUCUUCUCCCCCAGCUACCAUGGCUGCAGAUCCACCCACGACUGGUCGUCUAAGCUGCAAGCAUGGAUGGAUGGAUCCAGGAAGGUAUCCUUCCUCCCUGGGUGGAGCGAGCUGCACAUCCCAUUCGGCCCUCUGGAGUCGGCCAUCUCCGCCUCCUCCUCGCCGCCGCCGCCGCCGGGGAUCGCAUCUUCACCAAGCGCGAGCUCCGUCACAUCCGACCGACCGCAAAGGGGUUGUCCAUUGUAAAUUUUCAAGGAGAUUCAAAUGUUCCUCUUCUGGCUGAUUGAAGGGAUACUUGAAGCUAGGGCAAUCCAAGUAAGAUAGCUUCAUCCUCAGGCAACAGGUUUAUGUUAUCUUAUCAUGGAGUCAUUUUUAAGUUUGUGCCCAACGCCUUCAUCCUAAGAAUGGCUGCCCAGAUGGAAAGCCACCGUAC
Molecule: long non-coding RNA, 644 nt
Organism: Triticum aestivum (bread wheat)
Lineage: Eukaryota; Viridiplantae; Streptophyta; Magnoliopsida; Poales; Poaceae
Exons: 3
Source: RefSeq, a predicted model, not a curated record